RNAcentral lists this long non-coding RNA (232 nucleotides) under Ananas comosus (pineapple). RNAcentral's name for it is "long non-coding RNA (ACOM_LNC001741)". Lineage: Eukaryota; Viridiplantae; Streptophyta; Magnoliopsida; Poales; Bromeliaceae. The record is from RNAcentral.
UAGGAAUGUAAGACGCGAGAGGUGUGACUUAUUGCGAAAGUCGACGAUUGAGUGGUUUAACUCCUCCUAAAGUGGAGAGAGUGAUUGAAGGAGUGUCUGUUCUUGCCAAAUGAAUUAUGAUGGAUGCAGACGGCAUAAUUUGGUGAAGGAACAGAGACGGUCUUCUAGACUUUCGCUUGAUUGGGUCGAAAGUUGUUUGUGUUUGGUAUCUGACAACUAUUUUGGUUUCAGG